AGUCCUGUGACUCCUCACUAGGACUACCCUGGCCAAGGUUUUGCUAAAUUGAAACACGACUGUAUACAGCUCCUGAACUGGAGUGGUCAAUCCCAUCUUGACACACGCACCGACAAGUCAAGUACUUGACUACACCCAGCAGCCUUCCGUCACUGAAUUAGAAAUUCAGAUAGUCCAGUGCCUAAGUGCAGUGAGUUGCUUGCAAGUCACUGUGGCGGUCUC
This 222-nucleotide long non-coding RNA is filed under the name Elaeis guineensis (African oil palm). Its description in RNAcentral is "long non-coding RNA (EGUI_LNC060872)". The record is from RNAcentral. Lineage: Eukaryota; Viridiplantae; Streptophyta; Magnoliopsida; Arecales; Arecaceae.